AUGCCCGCCUGCGACGACGACCACGCCUCGCUCCUCAGAUCCCACCCGGCCGCCGUCGCCGGAGGGGCGGGCGCCACCUCGUCGUCGCUGUCGUGCCCCUCGCCGCGCGCGGCCGCCGGCCACCGCCACGUCGACGUCGAGGCGGCCGACGGGGCCGCCUCCCCGAGGCGCGCCGGGGGCGUGCGCGGCCUCCUGCGCCACCUCGACCGCCGCGUCUACGCCCGCGGAUCUGCGCGCCGGCAGCAGCAGCAGCAGCUCGAUCGCUCCGCCGCGCUCCCCGAGGAGCCGUCUGCGGCGCCGUCGCAGACGCAGAGGGAGAGGCCGGGGGAGGAGCUCGGGGACGGGGCGCCCCCCGAGUGGGCGCUGCUGCUCAUUGGCUGCCUCCUUGGGCUCGCCACCGGCAUCUGCGUCGCCGCGUUCAACCGCGGGGUUCAUGUCAUCCAUGAUUGGGCGUGGGCAGGUACUCCCAACGAAGGUGCAGCUUGGCUCCGUCUGCAGAGGCUAUCUGAUACUUGGCAUAGAAUACUGCUGAUCCCUGUGUCAGGAGGUGUAAUCGUAGGAAUGAUGCACGGGUUGCUCGAGAUAUUUGAACAGCUCAAACUUGCGAAACAACCGCAGAACCAAGGAAUCAGUUUACUUGCAGCCAUCUUUCCGACUGUAAAGGCUGUACAGGCUGCCGUGACUCUUGGGACCGGUUGCUCAUUGGGGCCUGAGGGUCCUAGUGUGGAUAUUGGUAAAUCAUGUGCACUUGGGUGCUCAGAAAUGAUGGAGAACAAUCGCGAAAGACGGAUUGCUCUUGUGGCUGCUGGGGCUGCUGCUGGAAUUGCUUCAGGCUUUAAUGCAGCAGUUGCUGGGUGUUUCUUUGCCAUUGAGACUGUAUUGCGGCCCCUUAAAGCAGAAAAUGCACCUCCUUUUACGACCGCUAUGAUAAUAUUGGCAUCAGUUAUAUCAUCUACUGUAUCAAACGUCUUGCUUGGAGAAAGACCAGCUUUUACAGUGCCAGCAUAUGAGCUGAAAUCUGCUGCUGAGCUACCUCUAUACCUCAUCUUAGGAAUGCUUUGUGGGGCAGUCAGUGUGGUAUUUGGACGGUUGGUAGUAUGGUUUUCAAGAUUUUUCGCGUACAUGAAAGAAAGGUUUGAUUUUCCCAUUGUAGUGUACCCUGCUUUGGGUGGUCUUGGAGCUGGCCUCAUAGCCCUCAAAUAUCCAGGGAUUUUAUACUGGGGUUUCACAAAUGUUGAAGAAAUAUUGCAUACUGGGAAGAGUGCUUCUGCUCCUGGUAUCUGGUUGUUAACUCAACUUGCAGCUGCGAAGGUAGUUGCGACCGCCCUUUGCAAGGGGUCUGGUCUUGUGGGUGGACUAUAUGCUCCAAGCUUGAUGAUCGGGGCUGCUGUUGGAGCUACUUUUGGAGGGUCAGCUGCAUACUUAAUAAAUGCAGCUAUACCUGGUAGUGCUGCUGUUGCACAGCCACAAGCUUAUGCUCUUGUUGGAAUGGCUGCGACAUUGGCUUCAGUCUGCUCAGUCCCGUUGACUUCCGUAUUGCUUCUCUUUGAGCUGACAAAGGAUUACAGGAUUUUGCUACCUCUGAUGGGAGCAGUUGGACUGGCAAUAUGGGUUCCUUCUGUGGUAAACCAACCAAAUGAUGGUGAAUCUUCAGGGUUUAGAGCACCCAUGCGUGGUUAUUCUUUAGUUUCACUACAAGAUAAAAAUAGUAGCGUCUGGACGCGAAGUGAUUCCGUAGAUGAUCUUGAGCUUACUAUCUCACAAAGUGGUCUUCGUAACUAUGGUACCUACCAAGAGGAAGUGCUUCUAGAUGAUUUGAAGGAAGCCUGUUCAACCAUCUCGUCGUGUCUCACUCGAGGAUUCCAGUACCAGGGGAGUGAGCGCGGACUGCCAACAUGCUUUCCAGAUACCGAUUUGACCACUGCCAAAAACCUUAUGGAGGCCAGAGGGAUAAAGCAGCUGCCUGUCGUUAAGCGUGGCGUUGGGCAUAGAACCGAAAGAAGGCGCAAGCUUGUUGCCCUUCUCUAUUAUGAUUCUAUCGGCCACUGCUUACGGGAGGAGAUUGAGAACUGGAAAGCUAUAUACCAAAGAAAAGAAGAUUUCCACAUUUUAGCAACUGGUCACACAUUACAGUGA
Molecule: ribosomal RNA, 2136 nt
Filed under: Triticum aestivum (bread wheat)
Lineage: Eukaryota; Viridiplantae; Streptophyta; Magnoliopsida; Poales; Poaceae
Description: partial small subunit ribosomal RNA
Source: RNAcentral